This 1299-nucleotide unclassified non-coding RNA is filed under the name Hevea brasiliensis (rubber tree). Lineage: Eukaryota; Viridiplantae; Streptophyta; Magnoliopsida; Malpighiales; Euphorbiaceae. The record is from RNAcentral.
CAUCACAUAUGCAUUUCCUGGAGAGAGUGUUGGAUGAGCUCCACUAGCUGCAUACCCAUCCCCUGGUGCACCAAAUGAAGGCUUAAGAUGUGGCGUAGCGGGCUGUUGCUGAAGGGGCCUACCAGACCUAUCAUAGCCAUAAGGCAUUGAUUCGGGACGGCUAGCAACUGGUUGAGAUACUCCAGAAAAUGGCACUUGCAUGGGCAUACUAUUGGGCAUUGUCUCAGGAGUAGGAUUUGGUUGACUAUGCAGAUAAGAGGGAUAAACAGCAGGUGAUGCAGGUCUAGCUUGCUGUUGCAUAUUUGGAAUCUGUGACUGUUGAACCUGUUGGGGUACCUGCUGUGCCCACUGCUGCUGAUAUUGGGGCAUUGAUUGGAGUUGUUGUGUCUGAUUCACCUGAGGUGCUGCACGCUGUGGUGUUACUUGCAUUUGAGGAUUUCUAUACUGCGGAUCAGACGACAAAAAUUGACCUUGAGACAACUGAGUUGGAGCUUGUUGAUUUGCCAUCUGAGGAGGGGGUAAAUAAUACCCUUGUGACUGUGGCAUACUUUGGGGUGGAAUUGAUUGUGGAGGAGGCACAGGUGGCUGUUGUGGCUGCUCCACAGGUCGGUUAGUAAGAGAAACCUGGGGUGCCACUUGAUGGGGUAGUGCAAGAGCCAGUUGCUGUCCAUGCACUUCAGGUGCGUCGUCACUUUUUUUGUCAUCAGACAGGUGUUGAGCACUUCUCUCCUCGUUUUGCUGAGAAUUGCUAGAUGAAGUUGAUCCUUUCUGUGCAAGCUGAAGCUUGGCCAGCUCCUUUUGAGUUUCGGCAAGUUCUUGUUUAUCUCUUAGAAUCUGUACAGAUCUGUGAACCUCUUGAACAUGCUUCUCUAGAGCCUUCAGUUUUGAAUCUGCCUCACCGUGAUCCCGAACUAAAUCAGAGCGCAUUUCUCCAAUAGACUUAUCAAGAUUGUAACAGUAUAAUUCCAACUGUGACAAGCGUGAACUGAUCCCCUCUAGGAAGCGCAUGAGAUUGUCCGUAUAUUUCUUCAUGGUCUUCUCAAUAGUACAUAUCAUGUCUUGGUUGAAGGAAGAUUCUUCUGGAGGACUAUAUGCUGGAGCAGGAAACAUUGAUGACCUUGUCAUUCUGCUUUUGUGGAACUCCUUAGCAGAAUUGGCAGCGAUUACAGAAUCAGAGUGUGUUCCAUUAGAGGGAUCUUGAUUAGCAUAAUCUUCAUAGGAACAAAGUAUAUCAUCCGAUGCAAAAUCAAAACCCUUAGAACCCGCAUUGUUUGACCUACCAGAUGAUCCAGAUGCCAU